AAUAGAUACCCGGGUAGUCCACGCCGUAAACGAUGAGUGCUAAGUGUUAGGGGGUUUCCGCCCCUUAGUGUUUCUGUAGCUAACGCAUUAAGCACUCCGCCUGGGGAGUACGGUCGCAAGACUGAAACUCAAAGGAAUUGACGGGGGCCCGCACAAGCGGUGGAGCAUGUGGUUUAAUUCGAAGCAACGCGAAGAACCUUACCAGGUCUUGACAUCCCAUUGACCGCUAUGGAGACAUAGCUUUCCCUUCGGGGACAGUGGUGACAGGUGGUGCAUGGUUGUCGUCAGCUCGUGUCGUGAGAUGUUGGGUUAAGUCCCGCAACGAGCGCAACCCUUGUUCUUAGUUGCCAUCAUUUAGUUGGGCACUCUAAGGAGACUGCCGGUGACAAACCGGAGGAAGGUGGGGAUGACGUCAAAUCAUCAUGCCCCUUAUGACCUGGGCUACACACGUGCUACAAUGGACGGUACAAACGGUUGCCAACCCGCGAGGGGGAGCUAAUCCGAUAAAACCGUUCUCAGUUCGGAUUGUAGGCUGCAACUCGCCUACA
This 548-nucleotide ribosomal RNA is filed under the name uncultured bacterium. RNAcentral describes it as "bacterial SSU rRNA". It matches the Rfam family "Bacterial small subunit ribosomal RNA", at positions 777 to 1320 of the family's 1533-position model. The record is from RNAcentral.